RNAcentral lists this ribosomal RNA (908 nucleotides) under Aureobasidium pullulans. Its description in RNAcentral is "partial large subunit ribosomal RNA". It matches the Rfam family "Eukaryotic large subunit ribosomal RNA", at positions 38 to 964 of the family's 3401-position model. The record is from RNAcentral. Lineage: Eukaryota; Fungi; Ascomycota; Dothideomycetes; Dothideales; Saccotheciaceae.
ACAUAUCAAUAAGCGGAGGAAAAGAAACCAACAGGGAUUGCCCUAGUAACGGCGAGUGAAGCGGCAACAGCUCAAAUUUGAAAGCUAGCCUUCGGGUUCGCAUUGUAAUUUGUAGAGGAUGAUUUGGGGAAGCCGCCUGUCUAAGUUCCUUGGAACAGGACGUCAUAGAGGGUGAGAAUCCCGUAUGUGACAGGAAAUGGCACCCUAUGUAAAUCUCCUUCGACGAGUCGAGUUGUUUGGGAAUGCAGCUCUAAAUGGGAGGUAAAUUUCUUCUAAAGCUAAAUAUUGGCGAGAGACCGAUAGCGCACAAGUAGAGUGAUCGAAAGAUGAAAAGCACUUUGGAAAGAGAGUUAAAAAGCACGUGAAAUUGUUGAAAGGGAAGCGCUUGCAAUCAGACUUGUUUAAACUGUUCGGCCGGUCUUCUGACCGGUUUACUCGGUUUGGACAGGCCAGCAUCAGUUUCGGCGGCCGGAUAAAGGCUCUGGGAAUGUGGCCUCCACUUCGGUGGAGGUGUUAUAGCCCAGGGUGUAAUACGGCCAGCCGGGACUGAGGUCCGCGCUUCGGCUAGGAUGCUGGCGUAAUGGUUGUAAGCGACCCGUCUUGAAACACGGACCAAGGAGUCUAACAUCUAUGCGAGUGUUCGGGUGUCAAACCCCUGCGCGUAAUGAAAGUGAACGGAGGUGGGAACCCGCAAGGGUGCACCAUCGACCGAUCCUGAUGUCUUCGGAUGGAUUUGAGUAAGAGCAUAGCUGUUGGGACCCGAAAGAUGGUGAACUAUGCCUGAAUAGGGUGAAGCCAGAGGAAACUCUGGUGGAGGCUCGCAGCGGUUCUGACGUGCAAAUCGAUCGUCAAAUUUGGGUAUAGGGGCGAAAGACUAAUCGAACCAUCUAGUAGCUGGUUCCUGCCGA